CGACGUGAGGAACCUGCCUUGGAGUGGGGAAUAACAGCCAGAAAUGGCUGCUAAUACCGCAUAAUGCAGUUGGGUCGCAUGGCUCUGACUGCCAAAGAUUUAUCGCUCUAAGAUGGCCUCGCGUCUGAUUAGUUUGUUGCGGGGUAACGGCCCACCAAGACGACGAUCAGUAGCCGGACUGAGAGGUUGGCCGGCCACAUUGGGACUGAGACACGGCCCAGACUCCUACGGAAGGCAGCAG
Molecule: ribosomal RNA, 241 nt
Filed under: uncultured bacterium
Lineage: Bacteria
Description: partial 16S ribosomal RNA
Rfam family: Bacterial small subunit ribosomal RNA
Source: RNAcentral